Molecule: long non-coding RNA, 1109 nt
Filed under: Homo sapiens (human)
Lineage: Eukaryota; Metazoa; Chordata; Mammalia; Primates; Hominidae
Description: HSALNT0041419
Source: RNAcentral
CAGAGACAGGGUCUCACUCUGUUACCCAGUCUGGAGUACAAUGGCACCACUAUAGCCCACUGCAGCCUCAAACUUCUGGGAUCAAGCAAUCUUCCCACUUCAGCAUCCCAAGAAUGUCUCAUUAAAUGACAUCAAAGCCUGAUUCUGCAAUUAAAAAAGCGUUUAUAUUAACUGGAUUUUGAAAAGAGAAAAGAACAAUAAAACCACCCCCCAAUUCUUCAAACAACAAAAGAGGAAACACAGCAACCCCCUUCCCCAAAUUUUGGCAUUUGUUCACCUCUUUUAACCCUUGCUUUUUUGUAAAAUAACUUAUGGAGAAAUUGUUGUGAGCAAAAGGUCUUAAUUGCAAAAAAAAAAAAAAAUCCUUUUAGGAGUGUUUAAAAUAAAAUGACAGAGUAUAUUUAUGGAGCCUGGACAAUGCAUCCUUUUCUCAUAUUUUCCAGUUUUGUAAUGCCUAAGUACUCGUCUAGAAUCUGAAUUUAGUAAUGCCAAUAUUGGACUCUUUCACAUACAUUCUAUAGAGUUAUUAGUAAACUCAUGACAACCAACUAACCAACCAGGCAAACAAAAACAUAUUUAGAAACCCAAGCUGUAAGGCACAGCUCAUGCACACACACACAAAAUUUCAUCCCAAAAUAUGUAUGAACUUUGAGGGAACAAUCAGCACUCUAAAGCAGCCGAACCCCCUGCACAGUUAGGAAUGAGCGGGCUUCUGGCAGUGUCUUUUAAAAAGGCACAGAGAUUUGCGUAUAGACAUAUUUCUAGUGCAUCAAUGACAGGUGGCUCUUCCCCAUCUAAGCAGGAUGGAUGGAGGGAGUUAGGUACAAUGGCUUAUAAUUUUCAAAUACUGUAAUUUUUUUUGUAAAGAUGGAAACCAUUAUUUUUUAAAAGCAUGUGGUUUCAAUAGUGCAUAUUUGAUUUAUGACUAAGAAUUCUUUUUCUCCAUGCCAUAUUAGUACCCUCACUUAAUUAAAUAGUUUUCUUUUUUGAAACUUAGAUUGGACAGAAAUCUGUUUUACCAAGGUAGUGAAUAUGGCUUUGUCAAAAUCUCUGUGUGUUUGUGUGUGUGUAUGUUGAAAUAAGUGCAGAAUUGAGAUAAUGAUGUGGAC